GGGCCCGCACAAGCGGUGGAGUAUGUGGUUUAAUUCGAUGCAACGCGAAGAACCUUACCAGGUUUGACAUCCUGCGAAUUCUGGGAAACCGGAAAGUGCCUUCGGAACGCAGUGACAGGUGGUGCAUGGCUGUCGUCAGCUCGUGUCGUGAGAUGUUGGGUUAAGUCCCGCAACGAGCGCAACCCACGUCUUUAGUUGCCAGCAUUUAGUUGGGCACUCUAGAGAGACUGCCGGUGAUAAACCGGAGGAAGGUGUGGAUGACGUCAAGUCAUCAUGCCCCUUACAUCCUGGGCUACACACGUGCUACAAUGGCUAGGACAGACGGCUGCAAACCAGCGAUGGGGAG
This 346-nucleotide ribosomal RNA is filed under the name uncultured bacterium. RNAcentral's name for it is "bacterial SSU rRNA". It matches the Rfam family "Bacterial small subunit ribosomal RNA", at positions 917 to 1267 of the family's 1533-position model. The record is from RNAcentral.